UAGUGUACCAUUACCAGCCUGAAUGUGCCUGAUCUCACCUGAUUUCAGAAGCUAAGCAUGGUUGGGCCUGGUAAGUACUUGGAUGGGAGGGUACCCCUU
This 99-nucleotide ribosomal RNA is filed under the name Ursus americanus (American black bear). Lineage: Eukaryota; Metazoa; Chordata; Mammalia; Carnivora; Ursidae. The record is from RNAcentral.